Molecule: long non-coding RNA, 1293 nt
Filed under: Amphimedon queenslandica
Lineage: Eukaryota; Metazoa; Porifera; Demospongiae; Haplosclerida; Niphatidae
Description: uncharacterized LOC109587075, transcript variant X1
Source: RNAcentral
AAAUAUUAUUGUUUUUAUCUUAAAACAGCAUUUAUAAACAAUCGUAUCCAGUAUUUACUGAGCCAAGCCUUCCUCCACACUCACCAAGUGCUUUUGAACAGACCAAAACAUUUGAAAACCUCAAUUCUGAUGCACGAGUAUAUGAAUCAGCAAGUAUUAAUAGUCCCAGUGUUACAAUACAUGAGGAUAAUUCAGUUUCUUUUUCUUCUACUGCUGGAUCUGAUCGUCCUCUAUUACCUGAACGUGCUCCUAUGACCUCAUACCAAACUACAGCUGCAGAGGAAGGAAAGGUUAAUAAGCCUCAUGAAGUUAGAGCUGAUAGCGGACCUUUUGAAAUUGUACAUAUAUAAUGGGGACUGCACGGAAUGGUAGAAUCAUUCAAUAGAAAUUUGAGGCUCCAUCAUUUAGAUAUUAAAUUAUUUAUAUACAUAUAUGUUAAAUCACAGGUUAAACAAGCAGCAAUUAUAAUUUUGUAUAGACUGGAUCUGUAAAAUUAUAUUAUCAUUUUACUUUUGUGUGCUAAAUUUUUGUAUUUCCUUUUUCUUCAAAAAGUGACGUAUUAUUUCAGACGUCAAUCAGAAUUAAGUCAAAUCACAUAGAAAGCAGUGAUAUGUAUAAAAUACGCCAGGCCAGUAGCAGCUUCCAUGUAUCCUGAGGUCACAACUAAUGGACAGUUCAAUAUUACUGUUGAUUACAUUCGUGGAGUACCAGAAUUAGUGAUACAAGUACUAACGUCAAAUGGAAGUGAACACUCUACUCAAGAGAUUAGUCUGAGACCUGAUAAUGGCAGACGUUCUUUGACUGUUUUAAGCAGUGUACUAUUAGCUAAUGGUAGCUACACUUAAUCCUUCAUCUCAUUUCUGGAGUAAUUGGUGCUGGUUUAUUGGUAAUACUUAUGAUUUUACUAGCAUUGCUAUUGAUGUGUAAGAGACAAGAUGGGGCUAUUUCAGUUCAGAAAUUGCUACAUGUCAUCAACAUCAGAUGUGUCAUCUGAUGUGACAAAUAAGAUCUGAAGCUCCAACAAGUGAACCAGUACAAGGGACUAUAGUGGAUUCUUAUCAUGUUUCUACUGAUGAAUUACAGGAAUGAGGACUGAUACUGCUGAUGUACCACCACCUGCUGUCCAACGUGAUGAAUAUAACAAUGUUGCUGGAGAUAUUAGCAAGUACUGAGUCUAUUACUGUAUCACUAAGAGUAUCACCUCAAGCUUUACCAGUUGAUUAUCCUUAUCCUCAAGAAGUGUCACCAAUUAACUAAUGGUAUUUGUAUGGUUAGAAUAUGAUGACUCAUCAA